CGACCUCCUAACUUGUUCGUUGGAGGAGACAAAAAUACAGCAUGCAGCAAAAUAAGGUUCUCCAAGACAACGAUGUCAAAGAACUACUUUAGAUAUUCUUAAAAUCGACUUAUAAAAGUUGAACAAAUUUCACUUCUUGUACAAGUUUCUUUCAAUGGAUUCAUGGAUAGGUUGGGUAUGGGGCAAAACAACCGUUUGGAGGCGAGCUAAAUGGAGAAGGCGGAUCUCCUCUCUCCAUGGGUUGGGAUCCACCACAUAAAAAAAUUUCCCAAAGAAAAGUCAAGCAAAACUUCGUAUGAGGAACCCCCUGGUGAUGACGAAGAUGAGUGUUCGAUUUAAGAUGAUAGGGAUUUAUUUUUCAACAUAUCGCUGGCUUGCUCCGACGGAAGAGACGAUGUGGCCAAAGAUGAUGCACCUCCAGCCUCGAUGUCAAAAUUAUGUACGUCUAUUCCAGCAGUACCAGACUCCAUCACAGGAAAAUUCAUUAAGUCAAGCUGUCUCCUGAUCCAAAAAUUCACAACAAAAUCGAACAUGUUGUGAUAAAUUCAAUACAAAUUUCCAGUCUUCGCAUGUCGAGCAUUCGUUUCGAAUACCAAAUAUUGGCGCGUCAACAAGCGCAAGGAAGAAUCGACGUUUAAUAUUAUAUAUGAUAUAUUUUGUAGCUUUCUCCUUUAAACGCAAACAGUUCUAAUAAACGAUGGACAACAUCGUCUUUUUCAGGUAGUGGACAGUCAGACUAACAUAGGACGUUUUUAUGAAAUUAUCUGUUCAAAUAUUGGCUGAAAUUAAAUUACCUUGGUGGUGAAAGUGAGUGAAAUCGGUUUGGACUUGUGCCGAAUAUAUGGAUCAAAUUUCAUCAAUAAAUUGCGAGAGAAUGAAAUGUUCGGUUGCAUCCGAACAUAGCCAUUUCUUACGUGUUAUACCCUGAACAGACAGGGUAUAUUAAGUUUGUCACGAUGUUUGUAACACCCAGAAGGAAGCGUCGGAGACCCUAUGUAUGUAUUUGAUUGGCGUUGCAACCGUUUAGCCGGUUAUAGCCGAAUCGACGAUAGUGCGCCACCUCUCUCUCUCCUUCGCAGUUCGGCGCCAGUUGGAGAUCCCAAGUGUAACCAGGUCGCUCUCCACCGGAGACCCUAUAAAGUACAUAUAUAAAUGAUCAGUAUGUUGAGCUGAGUCGAUUUAGCCAUGUCCGUCUGUCUGUCCGUCUGUAUAUAUACGAACUAGUCCUUCAGUUUUUAAGACAUCGUUUUGAAAUUUUGCAGAUGUUAUUUUCUCUUCAAUAAGCUGCUCAUUUGUCGGAACUGUCGAUAUCGGACCACUAUAUCAUAUAGCUGCCAUACAAACUGAACGAUCGGAAUCAAGGGCUUGAAUGGAAAACUUCCGCAUUUUACUACAUAUCUUCACGAAAUUUGACAUGGAUUACUGCUUAAGGCUGCAACAAUGCUGGAACAUUAACGUGAGAUUCAUCUAUCGCGACGGUUGAUACGAUAAAUUCCGAGAACUUCAACACACUCGUAUCUUCAACCAUUUGAAAGAGGCAGCAAUUUAAAAUCAUUCAUCUAACAUCAUUACUAAUCAACUCAUCAAGAAUUUUGUGUUGAGUGAUUGUAGAACGUUUGCUAAACCGAAUCACAGUCACACAGUCGGUAAUUUUAAGUGUAAUAAGAACAUUAAAUUAUAAAUUUUUAAUUGUUUUUAUUUUCUGUUCCUUUGCAUUUAUUUAAAAUACUUCAAUUGUAAUUGCAACAUUUUUAAUUUUCUUCUAGUUAAAAAUACUUAUAUAGUACAUAAAUAUUAUUAAAAUAUUUUCAUUCCUUUUGUAAUAAAAACGAUUUAAGGCACUUUGAUUCUGUGGAAGUGGUUGUGGUCUCAACAAAAAUAAAAGCCAAAUUUGGAACAGAAGAAACUACCAAUGCGUGAAAAAAGUAACAAAACAGCAAAAAUAUUUGUAUAAUAAACAAUUCACUUUAAUUCAAAAAAAAUAUUAUGUGACAAUUGACAAGAAAGUUGAUAACAUAAUAAUUGUAAUAAUAUUAAUAAUAAUAAUACGAGUAAAUUAAAAAUAAUAUUUGAGGCAUCAAACGUAAAACUAAUUUGAGUUAAUUAAAGAAAUGUGUUAAAAUGAAAUUUGUUAAAUUAGUGAAACAUGCAUUAGAGUCCAUUAGUUUAGAAGUAGUUCAAGUAAAAUACUGGAUAAUUAUACAUAAAACAUUACAAUUUGUAGACGCAUAACAGUUGCGCGCAUAUGAUAUGGACAAUAAGAAUAUAAACACGUUAACGACUAGACUUAAACUUACGAGUAUGACUAAAUUUUACACAUCUUAAAA
Molecule: long non-coding RNA, 2327 nt
Organism: Zeugodacus cucurbitae (melon fly)
Lineage: Eukaryota; Metazoa; Arthropoda; Insecta; Diptera; Tephritidae
Exons: 2
Source: RefSeq, a predicted model, not a curated record